This 439-nucleotide ribosomal RNA is filed under the name uncultured bacterium. Its description in RNAcentral is "partial 16S ribosomal RNA". It matches the Rfam family "Bacterial small subunit ribosomal RNA", at positions 339 to 795 of the family's 1533-position model. The record is from RNAcentral.
CUACGGGUUGCUGCAGUGAGGAAUAUUGCACAAUGGGGGGAACCCUGAUGCAGCAACGCCGCGUGGAGGAUGACACAUUUCGGUGUGUAAACUCCUUUUAUAUGUCAAGAAAAUGACGGUAGCAUAUGAAUAAGCACCGGCUAACUCCGUGCCAGCAGCCGCGGUAAUACGGAGGGUGCAAGCGUUACUCGGAAUCACUGGGCGUAAAGGACGCGUAGGCGGGUUGGAAAGUCAGGUGUGAAAUCCUACAGCUUAACUGUAGAACUGCACUUGAAACUUCUAAUCUAGAGUAUGGGAGGGGGAGAUGGAAUUAGUGGUGUAGGGGUAAAAUCCGUAGAUAUCACUAGGAAUACCUAAAGCGAAGGCGAUCUCCUGGAACAUUACUGACGCUAAGGCGUGAAAGCGUGGAGAGCAAACAGGAUUAGAUACCCCUGUAGUC